RNAcentral lists this ribosomal RNA (497 nucleotides) under uncultured bacterium. RNAcentral's name for it is "partial 16S ribosomal RNA". It matches the Rfam family "Bacterial small subunit ribosomal RNA", at positions 28 to 507 of the family's 1533-position model. The record is from RNAcentral.
GAUGAACGCUGGCGGCGUGCCUAAUACAUGCAAGUCGAGCGAACGGACGAGAACUUUGCUUCUCUGAUGUUUGCGGCGCACGGGUGAGUAACAUGUGGAUAACCCCUCUAUAAGACUGGGAUCACUUCGGGACACCGGCUCUUACAGCGGAAAAUAAUUUGAACCGCAUGGUUCAAAAGAGAAAGACGAUUUCGCUGUCACUUAUAGAUGCAUCCGCGUUGCAUUAGCUAGUUGGUAAGGCAACGGAUUACCACGGCAACGAUGCACAGCCGACCUGAGAGGUUGAUCGGCCACACUGGACCUGAGACCGGGCCCAGACACCUACGGGGGGAACCGGUAGGGAAUCUUCCGCAAGGGACGAAGGCCUGACGGAGCAACGCGGCGUGAGUGAUGAAGGUCUUCGGAUGGUAAGACUCUGUUAUUAGGGAGAAAGAUAUGUGUAGGUGACUGUGCACAUCUUGACGGUACCUAAUCAGAAAGCGACGGCUAACUACGUG